CCUACGGGGUGCAGCAGUGGGGAAUAUUGCACAAUGGGCGCAAGCCUGAUGCAGCCAUGCCGCGUGUAUGAAGAAGGCCUUCGGGUUGUAAAGUACUUUCAGCGGGGAGGAAGGUGUUGUGGUUAAUAACCACAGCAAUUGACGUUACCCGCAGAAGAAGCACCGGCUAACUCCGUGCCAGCAGCCGCGGUAAUACGGAGGGUGCAAGCGUUAAUCGGAAUUACUGGGCGUAAAGCGCACGCAGGCGGUCUGUCAAGUCGGAUGUGAAAUCCCCGGGCUCAACCUGGGAAAUGCCUUUGAUACUGGCAGGCUGGAGUCUUGUAGAGGGGGGUAGAAUUCCAGGUGUAGCGGUGAAAUGCGUAGAGAUCUGGAAGAAUACCGGUGGCGAAGGCGGCCCCCUGGACAAAGACUGACGCUCAGGUGCGAAAGCGUGGGGAGCAAACAGGAUUAGAUACCCGCGUAGUC
RNAcentral lists this ribosomal RNA (465 nucleotides) under uncultured bacterium. RNAcentral describes it as "bacterial SSU rRNA". It matches the Rfam family "Bacterial small subunit ribosomal RNA", at positions 338 to 795 of the family's 1533-position model. The record is from RNAcentral.